Molecule: ribosomal RNA, 500 nt
Filed under: uncultured bacterium
Lineage: Bacteria
Description: partial 16S ribosomal RNA
Rfam family: Bacterial small subunit ribosomal RNA
Source: RNAcentral
AUUGAACGCUGGCGGCAUGCUUUACACAUGCAAGUCGAACGGUAACAGGGUGCUUGCACCGCUGACGAGUGGCGAACGGGUGAGUAAUGCGUCGGAACGUGCCGAGUAGUGGGGGAUAACGCAGCGAAAGUUGUGCUAAUAACGCAUCCGUACUGAGGGAGAAAGUGGGGGACCUUCGGGCCUCACGCUAUUCGAGCGGCCGAAGUCUGAUUAGCUAGUAGGUGAGGUAAAGGCUCACCUAGGCGACGAUCAGUAGCGGGUCUGAGAGGAUGAUCCGCCACACUGGGACUGAGACACGGCACAGACUCCUACGGGAGGCAGCAGUGGGGAAUUUUGGACAAUGGGCGAAAGCCUGAUCCAGCCAUGCCGCGUGUCUGAAGAAGGCCUUCGGGUUGUAAAGGACUUUUGUCAGGGAGGAAAUCCCUAGUGCUAAUAACACUGGGGGAUGACAGUACCUGAAGAAUAAGCACCGGCUAACUACGUGCCAGCCGCCGCGGUAA